This 200-nucleotide unclassified non-coding RNA is filed under the name Amandinea sp. Its description in RNAcentral is "partial internal transcribed spacer 2". Lineage: Eukaryota; Fungi; Ascomycota; Lecanoromycetes; Caliciales; Caliciaceae. The record is from RNAcentral.
UUAAGUUCAGCGGGUAUCCCUACCUGAUCCGAGGUCAAUCGUGAUAAUAUAGUUGGGUUGCUGGCGGGUCCAGCCGAGAGGCUUCCAUAGCGGGAUAUGAAAUCUUACUACGCUCGGAGUCUCGUCGGACCGCCACUGAAUUUCGGGCCCACCGCGGGGGCGAGACCCAUAGCCAAGCAGUGCUUGAGGGUUGCAAUGAC